This 657-nucleotide long non-coding RNA is filed under the name Medicago truncatula (barrel medic). RNAcentral's name for it is "long non-coding RNA (MTRU_LNC000429)". Lineage: Eukaryota; Viridiplantae; Streptophyta; Magnoliopsida; Fabales; Fabaceae. The record is from RNAcentral.
UUUUAAAUCUUUUUUAUUUUAUCUGAUUCUCUUUAAUCAUUUUUUAGUCCUCAUCCUUUUAUUUUAUUAUUAUUGUUUAUUUAUUUUUCUUUUGUCCAUAAUCCACACAACCUGUCACAUGCCUCAGAGGCGGAUCCAAUCCCAAACGCGUUUCGUCAUCCAAAUUCGAUUCAUUCCAAUCCAAAACCAAGUUUUAUGCUCUUUUGAACAAACCCUAGACUUAAACCUAGCACUAUAAAUAUAACCUGCAAAAUAACCAGAAACGGACGGAAAAAAGCCAGAGCACGCACAAGAAGCAAAACCAGCGAGGAACAACAUCAACUCGAAUCCGCACUUCCAAACCGGACACAUCACAGAACUGUCACCAACCACAACAACAUCAAAGACGAUUCACCGUCGCCGUCACGAGCAGCAGUGGCAGAACCGAAUUCAACAUCAACGAAGCAGCCAUCACAAAUCAGUCAAAGUUUGAGGUCCAAAUCGGAACAAAACCGAAUCAAAGAUUUAACAUAAAGGUAGUAUCCCUUUAAAACGUAGCAGCCAUCACAAAUCAUCGUGUUCUUCCUUUAGAACAGAGAGAGAGAAGAGAGCAUAGGGAAGUAGAGAUGGAAAAAUAUUUUGAAAUGAAUGAAAAAGGUUCUUACACCCUAUAUAUAU